CUUGACGGUACCUAAACCAGAAAGGCCACGGUUAACUACCGUGCCAGCAGCCGCGGUAAUUACGUAGGUGGCCAAGCCUUGUCCUGAAAUAUUUGGCCGUAAAGGGCUCGCGGGCGGUUUUUUUAAGUUUGAUGUGAAAGCCCCCGGCUCAACCGGGGAGGGUUCAUUGGAAACUGGGGAACUUGACUGCAGAAGAGGAGAGUGGAAUUCCACGUGUAGCGAUGAAAUGCGUAGAGAUGUGGAGGAACACCAGUGGCGAAGGCGACUCUUUGGUCUGUAACUGACGCUGAGGAGCGAAAGCGUGGGGAGCGAACAGGAUUAGAUACCCUGGUAGUCCACGCCGUAAACGAUGAGUGCUAAGUGUUAGGGGGUUUCCGCCCCUUAGUGCUGCAGCUAACGCAUUAAGCACUCCGCCUGGGGAGUACGGUCGCAAGACUGAAACUCAAAGGAAUUGACGGGGGCCCGCACAAGCGGUGGAGCAUGUGGUUUAAUUUGAAGCAACGCGAAGAACCUUACCAGGUCUUGACAUCCUUUGACAAUCCUAGAGAUAGGACGUCCCCUUCGGGGGCAGAGUGACAGGUGGUGCAUGGUUGUCGUCAGCUCGUGUCGUGAGAUGUUGGGUUAAGUCCCGCAACGAGCGCAACCCUUGAUUUUAGUUGCCAGCAUUCAGUUGGGCACUCUAAGGUGACUGCCGGUGACAAACCGGAGGAAGGUGGGGAUGACGUCAAAUCAUCAUGCCCCUUAUGACCUGGGCUACACACGUGCUACAAUGGACAGAACAAAGGGCAGCGAAACCGCGAGGUUAAGCCAAUCCCACAAAUCUGUUCUCAGUUCGGAUCGCAGUCUGCAACUCGACUGCGUGAAGCUGGAAUCGCUAGUAAUCGCGGAUCAGCAUGCCGCGGUGAAUACGUUCCCGGGCCUUGUACACACCGCCCGUCACACCACGAGAGUUUGUAACACCCGAAGUCGGUGAGGUAACCUUUUAGGAGCCAGCCGCCGAAGGUGGGACAGAUGAUUGGGGGAAGUCGUUACAAGGAGCCGUUGAGGCC
This 1049-nucleotide ribosomal RNA is filed under the name Bacillus amyloliquefaciens. Its description in RNAcentral is "bacterial SSU rRNA". It matches the Rfam family "Bacterial small subunit ribosomal RNA", at positions 468 to 1510 of the family's 1533-position model. Lineage: Bacteria; Bacillati; Bacillota; Bacilli; Caryophanales; Bacillaceae. The record is from RNAcentral.